Long non-coding RNA from Nicotiana tabacum (common tobacco), 2346 nucleotides. RefSeq lists it as uncharacterized. The record is from RefSeq and is a predicted model, not a curated record. Lineage: Eukaryota; Viridiplantae; Streptophyta; Magnoliopsida; Solanales; Solanaceae.
GUAUAUACAUCCGCGGCUGAACACAUCGAGACCCCUCCCCUUGGCGAUUGUCUUCUUCACCGAAGAGACCACCAAACGACCCCACCCCUCCAAAACUUCACCUUCUUCUUCAUUCCAACAAUACAAGAUCGGAUGGAUGGCUAACAAAGAGACAUAGCAGCCAUCGCCGGGAACUUCGUUUAGCCAGCCGCCGUCGUGGACCUCGCCUAAAAAAAAGAGAGAGAGAGAGAGAGAGAGCUUCUGGAUAGAAUUUGAGAGGAGAUCUUAAGAAAAAAGAAAGGAAGAACUAGGGUUUUGGUUUGGAUUUCUAUUUUUCCUCCUCCUUUGAUUUUGGUUCCAACUUUUGAUACAUAAAAAAUUGAGAAAAUCAUAUUCUUCUGGCCUAAUUUUACUUAAAACAAAAAAUACAAAAAUACAUCUAAUUUCUUCCUCUAAAGUUCUAUUACGAAGCCAUAGAGUUGGCUUGAGUUUGAAUUCGGUUCAAAAUCGUCGUCGUUGGUUCGUCGUCGUUCGUGGUUCCGAUUCGGGUUCGUGGGCUCUGUUCGAUCACGUUUUGCUUUCUCGUUUGGAUUUGGAGCCAAGCUUGUAUUUGCUGAUUGCUUCUGUUAUUAUUGAAAGAUUUUGCUCAACAGAUGACGAGGACACACGCUACCGGUCAGGACAGACAGCCACCGAUACCACUAGUAGGGUCCGCGAGAGGCCGAAGUCGCGAUCGAGGCCGUGGUAGGGUAGGAGUGUAGCCCGCACAACAGCUAGGGCGGCACCUGCAGAUCCACCAAUUGCCUUAGUACAUGAUCAGGUCCCAGUUGUGGAUGCCCCAGCGGGACCAGCCCAUGCACCGACUGUGCCUAUUGUUAUCCAAGUCUUCAGGAGACCUUAGCUCAGAUUCUGACAGUGUGCACCAGUCUUGUUCAGGCGGUCUCUGUUACUACUACAGUAGCUACUUCCCAGGCCUAAGAAGGCACUCAAACUCCCACCGCUCGUACACUCGAGCAAGUUGUUCAGGGACAUCAAACAUAGGGGGCACCACCUGCCCAACUGGUUACACCUGCUCAAGACUAUGUAGUUCCAGUCAUGCCUGAUGAUGAGUAGCAAAUAUUUGAGAGGUUUGGUAGACUUCAGCCUCUGACUUUUAGUGGUACAGAGGGUGAGGAUGCCCAGGGUUUCUUGGGCAAGUAUUAGAGGAUUCUCCGUAUAGCGGGUAUUCUGGAGACUAGUGGGGUCUUAUUCACUACCUUUCAGUUCUCUGGAGCUGCCUUUACUUGGUGGGAGGCUUAUGAGAGGAGUAUGCUUGUUGGUGCAGCGCCCAUUACCUGGCAGCAGUUCUUCGUUCUCUUUUUGUAAAAGUAUGUGUCGCAAUCUCGUAGAGAAGAGCUGCACAGACAGUUUAAGUAGAUGCACCAUGACUAUAUUACUAUGACGCAGUACGAGAUGAGAUUUUCUGAGUUGUCCCAUCAUGCUAUUUGGUUUGUUCCCAUAGAUAGGGUGAGGAUCAGGAGGUUCGUUGAUGGCCUCACAUAUCAGCUGCAGAUUCAUAGGACUAGAGAGAGGGUGUCUGGUGCUUCUUUUGAGGAAGUUGUUGUCAUUGCUCGGGACAUAGAGUCGAUUCACUGCAGGAGCGAGUGGAGAGGGAGGCCAAGAGGCCUCGUGGAUCCGGUAGUUUUGGUGGUGCUCCUCAUGGGGUUCAGUUUCAGCACGGUAGAGGUCGUCCAUUCAGACAUGCUCUGUCUGCUCAACCAGUUCACCGUGGUGCAUCAUCGGGCCAUGGUUCUCACAAUUCUCAUUAGGGCCAUUCAUCACUUAGAACCCUCCCAGCCUAGAGUUCGUCAUGUGCUCCAUCAGUUCACGACUCUUCCAUUCCAGGAUCUUCUACCAGUUACCCCGGUACGAGGGGUUCCCUCUAGUUCCCGUUACCAGCACUAGGGGGUUGUUUUUAGUGUGGGGACUUUGGGCAUAUGUGGAGGCAGUGUCCUCGUUGUCAUAGGGGUCCGCCUCAGCAGAGGAGUCAGUCAUCGACUUCAGCAGCAGUUACUUCCCCACCCGCCCAGCCAGCUCGGGGUGGAGGUUAGUAAGCUAGGUGUCGCCCUAGAGGGGGAGGCCGAUCGGGUAGCGGUCAUGCCAGUUUCUAUGCACUACUUGCCAGAACAGAUGCUAUUACUUCAGAUGUUGUGGUCAUAGGUAUUAUCUCAGUUUGCCACAGGGAUACCUCUGUAUUAUUUGAUCAUGGUUCAACUUUUUCAUAUGUGUCAUCAUAUAUUACUCAUUAUGUCAGGACCCAAACCAAUGGACUGUGACGGGCACCAAGUACCUUACUCAACUGAGUACUAAUGUAACGUAUCUUUCUUA